AAAUUUCUAGGGAGAAUUUUGAUNAAUGACAUUGUCUGCCUAUGUGUCUUGACCAAAAUACGUGCCAGCGACGCGGUAAUACGUAGAARACUAGUGUUAUUCAUGUUUNAUCGGUUUAAAGGGUACCUAGACGGUAAAUCWAGCCUAAAAUUAAAUGAAGGGAGUAAUUUACCAGAGUUACUUUUGAGGGGGUAUUAAAGUACUGCUGGUGUAGAGAUGAAAUUCUGUCAYACCUCUUUUCUAUAGAAAAAUAAUGGCACAGGUAUAGGCGAAAGCAUCCCCCUUAUGUGAUAACCGACGUUGAGGGACGAAGGCUUUGUGUAGCGAACAGGAUUAGAUACCCCCGUAGUCAAAGCAGAAAAUGAUGAAUGUCAUAGAUUAGAUAAAUAAGUUUUUUCUAUAAAUGAAAGUGUAAGCAUUCCMCCUCCAGAGUAAUUUGGCAACAUUGGAACUGAAAUCAUUAGACCGUUUYUGAAACCCGUAGUGAAGUAUGUUGUUUAAUUUGAUGAUCCGCAAAAAACCYUACCACAAUUUGAAUAUUUAUAUCUUUUAUUGUUUUUUUUUAUUUUCUUCUCUUCUGAUUUGAUUUUUCUAAAGAAAAAGAGGCGAUGUGAUAUAUUUACCAGCGUUGCACGGCGGUCUUCAGUUAAUGUCGCGAGACUUUGGUUAGUUCCCUUAAAUUAACGUAAACCCYUACUUUAUUUUUAUAUAGAGUAGUUCCCCGCAUAUGGAUUUGA
RNAcentral lists this ribosomal RNA (737 nucleotides) under Hypogymnia physodes. Its description in RNAcentral is "partial small subunit ribosomal RNA". It matches the Rfam family "Bacterial small subunit ribosomal RNA", at positions 448 to 1143 of the family's 1533-position model. Lineage: Eukaryota; Fungi; Ascomycota; Lecanoromycetes; Lecanorales; Parmeliaceae. The record is from RNAcentral.